AAGAAGGUCAGUCUAGUGCCCUUUGGGUCUCUGGACCUUACGGUCUCACUCUCGGGUAUCUGACUGGAGCCUGGGCCUGGGCCACAACCAAAGACUGCCCUACCUCUCAGGACUCCUCAGGAUGAAGACAGCCUGGAAAAGACAAGCUGACCUCCCAGGUGUGGGUUUUCCUUUCCCCCGGCCACAGACCAGGGGCCUCCCAGAAGAAAUUUGGAAAUCUCCACAAAGAGCCAAAAGAGACUUGAUCUACAAAUUAUUUUUUUUUCCCCAAAAAAACUCUGAGCCGGACAUUCUUUAAGUAAAGUCUUGAUGCCUUCGUACCUCCAGGAACUUCAUUUACAUCUAGAAGAAACCUUGUUAUUCUCCUCAAGCCCAACACCCUUGCCUGGAGCUCUCUUUUACUUCAUGAAGGUGAAUUGUCUAAGACUACAAUUAGUAUAAGUGGAUACACAUUGCUUAUUUGUGAGUGUAUGGCCAGGCAGAGCCCUAGGACAUGC
Long non-coding RNA from Bubalus bubalis (water buffalo), 497 nucleotides. RefSeq lists it as uncharacterized. The record is from RefSeq and is a predicted model, not a curated record. Lineage: Eukaryota; Metazoa; Chordata; Mammalia; Artiodactyla; Bovidae. The transcript is spliced from 3 exons.